AAUAUUGGACAAUGGGGGGAACCCUGAUCCAGCCAUGCCGCGCGUGUGAAGAAGGUCUUCGGAUUGUAAAGCACUUUAAGUUGGGAGGAAGAGUUGCAGGCUAAUACCUUGCAAUUUUUACGUUACCAACAUAAUAAGCACCGGCUACCUUCGUGCCAGUAGCCGCGGUAAUACGAAGGGUGCAAGCGUUAUUCGGAAUUACUGGGCGUAAAGCGAGAGUAGGUGGAUCGUUAAGAUGGAAGUGAAAGCCCCGGGCUUAACCUGGGAAUUGCUUUCAAAACUGACGAGCUAGAGUACGGUAGAGGGUAGUGGAAUUUCCUGUGUAGCGGUGAAAUGCGUAGAUAUAGGAAGGAACAACAGUGGCGAAGGCGACUACCUGGACUGAUACUGACAAUGAGGUGCGAAAGCGUGGGGAGCAAACAGG
This 424-nucleotide ribosomal RNA is filed under the name uncultured bacterium. Its description in RNAcentral is "partial 16S ribosomal RNA". It matches the Rfam family "Bacterial small subunit ribosomal RNA", at positions 360 to 776 of the family's 1533-position model. The record is from RNAcentral.